GCCAGGCACGAUGGCACGUGCCUGUAAUCCCAGUGGCUCGGGAGGCUGAGGUAGGAGGAAAGCAAUUUCAAAGCCAGCCUCAACAACAUAGUGAGACCCUGUCUCUA
This 107-nucleotide small RNA is filed under the name Marmota monax (woodchuck). Lineage: Eukaryota; Metazoa; Chordata; Mammalia; Rodentia; Sciuridae. The record is from RNAcentral.